AUACGGAGGAUCCGAGCGUUAUCCGGAUUUAUUGGGUUUAAAGGGAGCGUAGGUGGACAGUUAAGUCAGUUGUGAAAGUUUGCGGCUCAACCGUAAAAUUGCAGUUGAUACUGGUUGUCUUGAGUACAGUAGAGGUGGGCGGAAUUCGUGGUGUAGCGGUGAAAUGCUUAGAUAUCACGAAGAACUCCGAUCGCGAAGGCAGCUCACCGGGCCGGAACUGACACUGAUGCUCGAAAGUGCGGGUAUCAAACAGGAUUAGAUACCCUGGUAGUCCGCACAGUAAACGAUGAAUACUCGCUGUUUGCGAUACACUGUAAGCGGCCAAGCGAAAGCGUUAAGUAUUCCACCUGGGGAGUACGCCGGCAACGGUGAAACUUAAAGGAAUUGGCGGGG
Molecule: ribosomal RNA, 393 nt
Filed under: uncultured bacterium
Lineage: Bacteria
Description: partial 16S ribosomal RNA
Rfam family: Bacterial small subunit ribosomal RNA
Source: RNAcentral